CCCUUAGAUGUUCUGGGCUGCACGCGCGCGACAAUGACGUUUGCAACGAGAUUGCGAGGCCGUCAGGUCGAGCUGAUCUUGCAAGCUGCGUCGUGAUAGGGACAGUCGAUUGCAAUUAUUCGACUCGAACGAGGAAUUCCUUGUAAUCGCGCAUCAUCAGUGCGCGCUGAAUACGUCCCUGCCCUUUGUACACACCGCCCGUCGCUCCUACCGAUUUUGAGUGGUCCGGUGAACCUUCUGGAUUGUGCGGCUUGCCGCGCGAGAAGUUAUGUAAACCUUAUCACUUAGAGGAAGGAGAAGUCGUAACA
Molecule: ribosomal RNA, 308 nt
Filed under: uncultured eukaryote
Lineage: Eukaryota
Description: partial 18S ribosomal RNA
Rfam family: Eukaryotic small subunit ribosomal RNA
Source: RNAcentral